CCUACGGGAGGCAGCAGUGAGGAAUAUUGGACAAUGGGCGCAAGCCUGAUCCAGCCAUGCCGCGUGCAGGAAGACGCAUCUAUGGUGUGUAAACUGCUUUUGUACGGGAAGAAACACUCCCUCGUGAGGGAGCUUGACGGUACCGUAAGAAUAAGGAUCGGCUAACUCCGUGCCAGCAGCCGCGGUAAUACGGAGGAUCCAAGCGUUAUCCGGAAUCAUUGGGUUUAAAGGGUCCGUAGGCGGUUUAAUAAGUCAGUGGUGAAAGCCCAUCGCUCAACGAUGGAACGGCCAUUGAUACUGUUAGACUUGAAUUACUAGGAAGUAACUAGAAUAUGUAGUGUAGCGGUGAAAUGCUUAGAUAUUACAUGGAAUACCAAUUGCGAAGGCAGGUUACUACUAGUGGAUUGACGCUGAUGGACGAAAGCGUGGGGAGCGAACAGGAUUAGAUACCCUGGUAGUCCACGCCGUAAACGAUGGAUACUAGCUGUUGGGCGCAAGUUCAGUGGCUAAGCGAAAGUGAUAAGUAUCCCACCUGGGGAGUACGUUCGCAAGAAUGAAACUUAAAGAGAAGUUAGACGNGNGAGAGNGACGACGACGACGACGAGGAGGAGG
RNAcentral lists this ribosomal RNA (612 nucleotides) under uncultured bacterium. Its description in RNAcentral is "bacterial SSU rRNA". It matches the Rfam family "Bacterial small subunit ribosomal RNA", at positions 338 to 956 of the family's 1533-position model. The record is from RNAcentral.